GACUGCGGAGGUCAUUAUCGUAUAACCGAGGUGCAACGGGCUGUCGCUGACCUUUUAAAAGGUUGUGCACGCUCGAGUGCCCUCACCCAAUCCAUCUCACCCCUUUUGUGCAUCACCGCGCGGGCCCCCCCUUGCAGGAGGGCUUGCGUUUUCACAUAAAACUCGAUACAGUUUAGAAUGUCCUCUUCUUUUGCGGUCACACGCAAUCAAUACAACUUUCAACAACGGAUCUCUUGGCUCUCGCAUCGAUGAAGAACGCAGCGAAAUGCGAUACGUAAUGUGAAUUGCANAAUUCAGUGAAUCAUCNAAUCUUUGAACGCACCUUGCGCCCCUUGGCUUUCCGAGG
This 346-nucleotide unclassified non-coding RNA is filed under the name uncultured fungus. Its description in RNAcentral is "sequence contains ITS1, 5.8S rRNA gene". The stretch from base 214 to 346 matches the Rfam family "5.8S ribosomal RNA", at positions 1 to 133 of the family's 154-position model. The record is from RNAcentral. Lineage: Eukaryota; Fungi.